UAUUAAUAGACUACUGACGUAGUUGACUACGUAUUGACGACAAACAAUAUUCCUACGACUUUUGCAAUUUGGGAAAUCUUAACUACUUGUCUUUAGAGAUUUUCGGCGAUUAAAUAUUUCAUACAUUUGUUCUUUGACAUCUUAGCCAAAAGCUCAGGGGAGAAUAAACUACAUAAGGAUUCCUAAUGUGCUCUACUUCCUAUGUGCAACUUCAAAACUUUUGGGAAAAUCGACGAUCAUUUAAGGUUUUUCUGGUCAUAUUUUUUGUAAUCCAGAAUGAAAAGUAUGAAAAAACUGUCCAAUAAGUUAUAAAUAAUAUAGUAGCCAGCUAGAUGAUAACAAUGGCACGUAUUUCAGAAUUUAUUGGGUAGAACACAAAUCCAGGGUGCUCGCAUAAGGCAGCUUAACUGCCUAAAAAUUAA
RNAcentral lists this long non-coding RNA (422 nucleotides) under Mytilus galloprovincialis (Mediterranean mussel). The record is from RNAcentral. Lineage: Eukaryota; Metazoa; Mollusca; Bivalvia; Mytilida; Mytilidae.